CCGGGGGCGGCUACACAUGCAAGUCGAGCGGUAGCACAGAGAGCUUGCUCUCGGGUGACGAGCGGCGGACGGGUGAGUAAUGUCUGGGAAACUGCCUGAUGGAGGGGGAUAACUACUGGAAACGGUAGCUAAUACCGCAUAAUGUCGCAAGACCAAAGUGGGGGACCUUCGGGCCUCAUGCCAUCAGAUGUGCCCAGAUGGGAUUAGCUAGUAGGUGGGGUAACGGCUCACCUAGGCGACGAUCCCUAGCUGGUCUGAGAGGAUGACCAGCCACACUGGAACUGAGACACGGUCCAGACUCCUACGGGAGGCAGCAGUGGGGAAUAUUGCACAAUGGGCGCAAGCCUGAUGCAGCCAUGCCGCGUGUGUGAAGAAGGCCUUCGGGUUGUAAAGCACUUUCAGCGGGGAGGAAGGCGAUAAGGUUAAUAACCUUGUCGAUUGACGUUACCCGCAGAAGAAGCACCGGCUAACUCCGUGCCAGCAGCCGCGGUAAUACGGAGGGUGCAAGCGUUAAUCGGAAUUACUGGGCGUAAAGCGCACGCAGGCGGUCUGUCAAGUCGGAUGUGAAAUCCCCGGGCUCAACCUGGGAACUGCAUUCGAAACUGGCAGGCUAGAGUCUUGUAGAGGGGGGUAGAAUUCCAGGUGUAGCGGUGAAAUGCGUAGAGAUCUGGAGGAAUACCGGUGGCGAAGGCGGCCCCCUGGACAAAGACUGACGCUCAGGUGCGAAAGCGUGGGGAGCAAACAGGAUUAGAUACCCUGGUAGUCCACGCCGUAAACGAUGUCGAUUUGGAGGUUGUGCCCUUGAGGCGUGGCUUCCGGAGCUAACGCGUUAAAUCGACCGCCUGGGGAGUACGGCCGCAAGGUUAAAACUCAAAUGAAUUGACGGGGGCCCGCACAAGCGGUGGAGCAUGUGGUUUAAUUCGAUGCAACGCGAAGAACCUUACCUGGUCUUGACAUCCACAGAACUUUCCAGAGAUGGAUUGGUGCCUUCGGGAACUGUGAGACAGUGCUGCAUGGCUGUCCUCACCUCGUGUUGUGAAAUGUUGGGUUAAGUCCCGCAACAGCGCACCCUUAUCCUUUGUUGCCGCGGUCGGCCGGGAACUCAAAGGAGACUGCCGUGAUAACUGGAGGAAGGGGGGAUGACGUCAGUCAUCAUGGCCUUACAACAGGCUACACCUGCUACAUGGCAUUUCAAAAGAAAGGA
This 1204-nucleotide ribosomal RNA is filed under the name Klebsiella pneumoniae. RNAcentral describes it as "bacterial SSU rRNA". It matches the Rfam family "Bacterial small subunit ribosomal RNA", at positions 36 to 1251 of the family's 1533-position model. Lineage: Bacteria; Pseudomonadati; Pseudomonadota; Gammaproteobacteria; Enterobacterales; Enterobacteriaceae. The record is from RNAcentral.